This 253-nucleotide ribosomal RNA is filed under the name uncultured bacterium. Its description in RNAcentral is "partial 16S ribosomal RNA". It matches the Rfam family "Bacterial small subunit ribosomal RNA", at positions 524 to 776 of the family's 1533-position model. The record is from RNAcentral.
UACGUAGGGUGCAAGCGUUGUCCGGAAUUAUUGGGCGUAAAGAGCUCGUAGGCGGUCUGUCACGUCGGCUGUGAAAUCCCGAGGCUCAACCUCGGGUCUGCAGUCGAUACGGGCAAACUAGAGUAUUGCAGGGGAGACUGGAAUUCCUGGUGUAGUGGUGAAAUGCGCAGAUAUCAGGAGGAACACCGGUGGCGAAGGCGGGUCUCUGGGCAAUAACUGACGCUGAGGAGCGAAAGCGUGGGGAGCGAACAGG